This is a non-coding RNA of Cyprinodon variegatus (sheepshead minnow), 632 nucleotides long. Lineage: Eukaryota; Metazoa; Chordata; Actinopteri; Cyprinodontiformes; Cyprinodontidae. The record is from the annotation of a RefSeq genome assembly.
AUGGCGCAGUUCCAGGUGAACAAAAUGUGGGGGAUGUCCCAGACCAUAGAUCACAAAGAGUGUAAAGGAGACUCAGUGACGCAGACAGAAGGACACGUUGCUGCUGCUGAAGGAGAAUCUGUAACUCUGGGAUGUACUUUUGAGACCAUUUCUACAAAUUAUGCUCUGUUCUGGUAUAAACAACAAGGGCAAGGUGUUCCAAAGUACAUGCUCAAGGAAUAUAUUAAAAGAAGUGACAAUGCUCCAGAGUUCAAUAGAAACCGAUUUACUGCUCAGGUCAAUAAAUCAGCCUUCGAUCUGACGAUCCAGGAUCUCCGUCUGUCAGACUCUGCUGUGUACUACUGUGCUCUGCAGCCCACAGUGACAGGAAACACCAGAACUCUGUACAAGAACCUGCAAAAAAGGACAAAACAAUGCAUACCAACAUCCACUAGGGGGCCUCCUAAAGCAGGCUUUAAGAACAUGUAAUAAAGAUGGUUAUGGGGGGUGUCAAGUGCCAUUAUAAAGUAAAUUACUUAUGAAAUAACCAUUUAGAUGUGUCACUUAAAUUGAGUAGUGGAUUUAUUUUAAAUGUAAGUAAUUAUUUUUAAUGGCACAAGUUUACAUGUUUUGAUUUCAUUUUAAGAACUGAA